Molecule: long non-coding RNA, 1873 nt
Organism: Ictalurus furcatus (blue catfish)
Lineage: Eukaryota; Metazoa; Chordata; Actinopteri; Siluriformes; Ictaluridae
Exons: 3
Source: RefSeq, a predicted model, not a curated record
AUCUCACCCCAUUACUGACUGCACACACCUGGACUCAAUCACCACUCCACACUAUAUAAACACGCUCACUACACAUAGACUUUGUGGAGGAUUUGUUCAGCUCGCUUUCCUCAUGUGAUGUGGAUCAGUUUAUUAACCUUCUCAAAGAGCAAGGAGUUAACCUGGACGACCGCAGUCUGGAACCAAGGAGGGGAACACACCUCAACUCACGAUCGAUUCACUGAACUGUUCCUCCACGUUUUUGACCACGCUCCAGAAGUCCAGUGACAGGUGUAUUUUAGGAGGUGGGAGGAAACCAGAGAACCCGGAGGAAACCCACAUGGACAUGGGGAGAACAAGCACAGAAACUCCACACAGACAGAAGCCCGAGCUCAGGACUGAAGCGGGGACCCUGGAGCUGUGAGGAGACAACGCUACCCACUGCAUCACCACACUGCUCAUAGAUCCACAGAGUUCCCCUUUUGUAUAGAUGGUAAUGAAUCAAAAACACAACAGCUGUGUAACGCUAAACUGGAAAUUAGCUGUUAUUAUUAUUUGAAAUCAAUUUAUUCACUAUUAUUUAUUUACUGAAUUUAUUUUUUUGAAUUUUGUCAAAGUAAUGAAAGUGUCACAGUUCAGUCCACAUCGACCGCGCUUGAGUUUUGGAAGGCAUGCAACUUAAAAAAAACCAAAAACUCUCUCUCUAUGUAUAUAUAUAUAUAUAUAAUGUGUGUAUAUAUGUAUGUAUAUAUGUCUAUAUGUAUAUAUAUGUAUGUAUAUGUGUAUGUAUGUAAUAAUGCAAAGUGUAAUAGAAAAGUCAUUUACUUGUAACUGUCACGUCUUCAUUCUGGUCUUAGCUGUAAAUAGAUGCGUGUGAAUUUCACACCUUUUUCUGCUGUCUCUCAUAUAAAAUGCAGGAAGUGAAGAUGGUCACUGACAGAGGGACAGCAGAAAAAGGUGUGAAAUUCACACGCAUCUAUUUACAGCUAAGACCAGAAUGAAGAAGUGACGUACAGGUUACAGGAAAAUAGGCUACUUAUCAAAAAAAUUUGAGCUUGAUCUCUUGUAUAUCGUUUUAUAAUCAAAGUAUUGGACGAAUUAAAUUAAUCUUUGUAUCUAAUCUUUAUAUCUUUGUAUUUAAUCUCUUAAUAUUUAUGUGUAAUAGUUAGAAUAAUUGACUAUUAUUAAUGUCUUAAUAAUGUGAGAUUAAUCUGAAAAUAAACGAAAGACAUACAAUACAGUUUAGUGUAAUUGUGCAGUUGUCAACAACAGGGGCGUCGCUAAACCCUUUUUACUGGGACACGAGUCUUUUUGAAGUGAUUUGUUCAUUUAGGAGGCUGGUUAGUUAGUUUACUCAUAAAAAUGUUAAUUAAACACACCUGCCUGUAAUUUUCUGUGCAUAAAUCUUUGGUUAGAUGUUUCAGGUGUGUGUGAUUAGGGAUGGAGUUAAACUCUGCAGGACAGUGCAGUGGCCCUCAGGACCGGAAUCGCCCAUCCCUGGUUUAGGAGAUAAUUUCACAGUUUCAGUGGCUCCAUUAUAUUGUCUGGUAUUUGUGUAAAUAAAACAUAAUGAAUUUGUUUUUGGGGGACUAGGUUUCUGAUGGACUAGGAUUGGAGAGGAAGGAUUUUAAAUGUAAUGAUAAUGUUGAUAUAUUUGUUGUUUUAUAUACAGGUUAUUUCAAAAGUCACUACUGUAUUAUUGUGAUGGGAUUUCAGGUGCCAGCUUUUUAUUUCAAAAAAUCAUUUCUUCUCUUGUCUUUUUGAACAGAGUGUAUAUCUAUGUGUAUUUAUUUCAGGAGUUUUAAUAGAAAUGAGGUAUAGUAAAUAUCAAAUAAAAUGUAAACGUGCAUUGAUGAAGUUAAUGUUGUUAGUAAUUGUUUAAAAAUGACCAUGG